RNAcentral lists this ribosomal RNA (252 nucleotides) under uncultured bacterium. RNAcentral's name for it is "partial 16S ribosomal RNA". It matches the Rfam family "Bacterial small subunit ribosomal RNA", at positions 524 to 776 of the family's 1533-position model. The record is from RNAcentral.
UACGUAGGGACCGAGCGUUGCCGGAAUCAUUGGGCGUAAAGAGCGUGUAGGCGGCCUUUUAAGUCCUGCGUGAAAUCCUGCGGCUCAACCGCAGACGGUCGUGGGAAACUGGAAGGCUAGAGUGCGGGAGAGGAGAGUGGAAUUCCCGGUGUAGCGGUGAAAUGCGCAGAUAUCAGGAAGAACACCCGUGGCGAAAGCGGCUCUCUGGAACGGUACUGACGCUGAGACGCGAAAGCGUGGGGAGCGAACAGG